This 492-nucleotide ribosomal RNA is filed under the name uncultured bacterium. RNAcentral describes it as "partial 16S ribosomal RNA". It matches the Rfam family "Bacterial small subunit ribosomal RNA", at positions 29 to 507 of the family's 1533-position model. The record is from RNAcentral.
AGUGAACGCUGGUGGUAGGCCUAACACAUGCAAGUCGAACGGCAGCACAGUAAGAGCUUGCUCUUACGGGUGGCGAGUGGCGGACGGGUGAGGAAUACAUCGGAAUCUACUUUUUCGUGGGGGAUAACGUAGGGAAACUUACGCUAAUACCGCAUACGACCUACGGGUGAAAGCAGGGGAUCUUCGGACCUUGCGUGAUUGAAUGAGCCGAUGUCGGAUUAGCUAGUUGGCGGGGUAAAGGCCCACCAAGGCGACGAUCCGUAGCUGGUCUGAGAGGAUGAUCAGCCACACUGGAACUGAGACACGGUCCAGACUCCUACGGGAGGCAGCAGUGGGGAAUAUUGGACAAUGGGCGCAAGCCUGAUCCAGCCAUACCGCGUGGGUGAAGAAGGCCUUCGGGUUGUAAAGCCCUUUUGUUGGGAAAGAAAAGCAGCAGGUUAAUACCCCGCUGUUCUGACGGUACCCAAAGAAUAAGCACCGGCUAACUUCGUG